UUUAUAUUUAAANCCGGNAAAUGGAAUAGGACAUGCGUUUCUAUUUUGUUGGUUACUAGUACGGCAGUAUUNAGUAAUAGGGAUCCUCGGCGGUGUCAGUANUCAGCGGUCAGAGGUGAAAUUCUGGGAUAUGGNGAAGACUAAGUAGUGCGAAAGCAUUGGCCAGGGAUGUUUUCCUUCAUCAGGGAACGAAAGUNAGGGGAUCGAAGACGAUCAGAUACAGUGGUAGUCUUAACCAUAAAAUAUGCCGACUAGGGAUCAAUCGGUGUUUCAAUAAUGACCCGCCAUGCACCACCAUAGAAAUCAACGUUAUAGGGUUCUGGGGGGAGUAUGGUCGCAAGGGUGAAAACUAAAGAAAUUUACGGAAGGGCACCCCAAGUAAUGGACCGUGUGCAUUCAUUGUGGUCACCAUGGGGAAACUUACCAGGUCCUGACCAUAUAGACCAUACUCCCCCCAGAACCCAAAAACUUCUUUUGGAUUAAGUGCAUGGCCGGGUCUAGUUGAAACACCAUUCGUUCGCUUAAUGGCGAUAACGAAGGAGACGUCUGCCCUUAAAUAGCCUGGUCUGCAAUUCCGGGACGUUGGUUUCUUAGGGGGAGAAUAGGUCCAAGCCGAAGGAAGUGCCCGGCAAUAACAGGUGUGUGAUGCCAGAAGACACCUGGGCCGCACGCGCGCUACACCCCCAGGGCCAGCGAGUACAUCACCUGGCCGAGAGGUACCAACUAAUAAUUUCCCCNCC
This 740-nucleotide ribosomal RNA is filed under the name Hemicarpenteles sp. Its description in RNAcentral is "bacterial SSU rRNA". It matches the Rfam family "Eukaryotic small subunit ribosomal RNA", at positions 796 to 1533 of the family's 1831-position model. The record is from RNAcentral. Lineage: Eukaryota; Fungi; Ascomycota; Eurotiomycetes; Eurotiales; Trichocomaceae.